Molecule: ribosomal RNA, 253 nt
Filed under: uncultured bacterium
Lineage: Bacteria
Description: partial 16S ribosomal RNA
Rfam family: Bacterial small subunit ribosomal RNA
Source: RNAcentral
UACGUAGGGUGCGAGCGUUAAUCGGAAUUACUGGGCGUAAAGCGUGCGCAGGCGGUGCACCAAGCUCGAUGUGAAAGCCCCGGGCUUAACCUGGGAAUUGCAUUGAGGACUGGUGUGCUCGAGUGCGGCAGAGGGGGGUGGAAUUCCACGUGUAGCAGUGAAAUGCGUAGAUAUCGGAAGGAACAUCAGUGGCGAAAGCGGCUUCCUGGACCAGCACCGACGUUCAGGCACGAAAGCGUGGGGAGCAAACAGG